Molecule: ribosomal RNA, 448 nt
Filed under: uncultured bacterium
Lineage: Bacteria
Description: SSU rRNA
Rfam family: Bacterial small subunit ribosomal RNA
Source: RNAcentral
AGAGAGAACGCUGGCGGCAGGCUUAACACAUGCAAGUCGAGCGGGCGUAGCAAUACGUCAGCGGCAGACGGGUGAGUAACGCGUGGGAACAUACCUUUUGGUUCGGAACAACACAGGGAAACUUGUGCUAAUACCGGAUAAGCCCUUAAGGGGAAAGAUUUAUCGCCGAAAGAUUGGCCCGCGUCUGAUUAGCUAGUUGGUGAGGUAACGGCUCACCAAGGCGACGAUCAGUAGCUGGUCUGAGAGGAUGAUCAGCCACAUUGGGACUGAGACACGGCCCAAACUCCUACGGGAGGCAGCAGUGGGGAAUAUUGGACAAUGGGCGAAAGCCUGAUCCAGCCAUGCCGCGUGAGUGAUGAAGGCCCUAGGGUUGUAAAGCUCUUUUGUGCGGGAAGAUAAUGACGGUACCGCAAGAAUAAGCCCCGGCUAACUUCGCGCCAGCAGCCGC